Molecule: ribosomal RNA, 421 nt
Filed under: uncultured bacterium
Lineage: Bacteria
Description: bacterial SSU rRNA
Rfam family: Bacterial small subunit ribosomal RNA
Source: RNAcentral
UAAGGAAUAUUGGUCAAUGGACGCAAGUCUGAACCAGCCAUGCCGCGUGAAGGAUGAAGGUCCUCUGGAUUGUAAACUUCUUUUAUCUGGGACGAAAACGGGAUUUUUAUCUCAAUUGACGGUACCAGAGGAAUAAGCACCGGCUAACUCCGUGCCAGCAGCCGCGGUAAUACGGAGGGUGCGAGCGUUAUCCGGAUUUACUGGGUUUCAAGGGUGCGUAGGUGGGCUUAUAAGUCAGUGGUGGAAUCUCCGAGCUUAACUUGGAAACUGCCGUUGAUACUAUAGGUCUUGAAUUAUCUGGAGGUAAGCGGAAUAUGUCAUGUAGCGGUGAAAUGCUUAGAUAUGACAUAGAACACCAAUUGCGAAGGCAGCUUACUACAUAUAAAUUGACGCUGAGGCACGAAAGCGUGGGGAUCAAACA